Molecule: long non-coding RNA, 1735 nt
Organism: Apteryx owenii (little spotted kiwi)
Lineage: Eukaryota; Metazoa; Chordata; Aves; Apterygiformes; Apterygidae
Source: Ensembl
GCUGGAAACCAUUCAUCUCUCUUACUUAACGGAGGUUUCCUCAGAGCUUUCCUAUGUUCACAUCAUUAUUUAAAGCAGACCACCUUGGUUUGACCUUCCUCCACCCCCUUAUUGUUCUGAAUCUGAAUCCCCUAAUCAGCCAGACCUUCCUCCUUACCGGUCUCGGACGGGGAGCUUGGUGAGCACAGACGCCGCCAUGGCAGGAAGCCCUCUGGGCAUCGAGGGCAGUCGGACAGGUGGUGUCCAUGACAGCGCGGACUGCCGCAGAACUCUCCUUGAGAGGACAGCUGGCCAAAGUGAUUCUCUGGUCAUCCCUCUUGCUGAAAGAGAAGUGUAACUGCCCUGAUAUUUGGGAUGGGCAGGAAGGGAUUUACUGUUUUCAAGUCUAUAUGGGUUAAUCUGCAGUUAAUUAGUUUCCGGUGGACAUGUGCCUGAAUGAUGACUUGAUUUGAAUCCAAGCUUCAUUAAUAAUUGGAUUCAACAUUUUGGGCUUAAUGAGGACCAGAGUCAUGAGGACUAAAUCUAGAGUCACAUCAGCUGUCCACAAAAUUCCUGCAAGCAGGUUCUGAUUUAGACCAGUAAAAAGCAUCAGUGCUGUGUUGAAGACCUGGUCUAAUAUAUUUCUGGGAAUAUUUACUGUAUAUGAAUGUAUAUAUGCACUUGUAUAAUAUAUACAGAUUUUGCAGACAAAAACUAUGCCAGAAGAACUCUUGUUUCCAGACUGGCUCUUGUCCUGCCUACAUGUGAGUCAUUUCUUCUCACCGCCAGUGCCAACUGGUGGUCACUGAUGCACCAGAGAGACAGUCUUUCUGCUUGGAGGUCAGAUGCCCAAUGCUAACCCACUGGCAGUGCUCAAUUUGCAGAGAAUGUCCCACUUGACCCUUCUCUCCCUGGGUUGGAACAUUAUCACUGUGAAUGUAAUUUUCAAAGCUUUUAAGCUUGAGAGGAUGCAACAAGUCUCUAACUGAGCAAAUAAGUUUUAUUUUUCCUAAAUGCUAGUAACUAGGCCAAAUUCGCAUGGGUUUUCUCAGGAAUACCACAAAGGUUGGCUCAUCUGUCAAACUUCAAGGCUUUACACGGAGGCACUGAAGCUUCUCAGCAAACCGGCACAAGACUUCUUUUCAAGCAUGGCAAAACAACAUUGCUCCUUGUGUUUCUUCUCAAAAAUAGAACUAUUUCAGCUAAAACUUGAACACCAAAACCAGCCUGAGGCAAACACCCAUCGUGGAAAACUUCAGUUGUUCUCAUGUGAAGUGUUUCAGUGCACAGUAUUGAAUCGCCCUUGUGAAAGCAACUCAGAUGUAAAGGUGUUCAGAGUGGCAAGAAAUAAGAGUACAGAAGUUCAGUAUCUGCCUCCAAAAAACAUGCUAAAACUUGAUGGAGGAUAUUCAUCUUGCUGCAGUUUUCUGAUUAGAACUUCAUCUCCUGUGACUGCUGAAUAUGCAAUGGGAGGCACAGUGUGAAGUGUACUGCAUGAGUCUUUGAGAAGGAACAGCUUCAGGACAUCUGGGACUUGUCCAGUCUUCCAGAAAUUUUUCUGUGCAGCUCUAUGAUGAUGUGUGAACGCUCUCCUGGAUCACAAGAAAGAAGCAGCCUCUUCAAUACAGAGAGGAACGCUGGUGGCAGACAGUCCUGGGAGAAGGGAAGGACUGGGAGGAGAGCAGGGAACAGAGAGGGCAAAUCUGUGUUGCAGAGAUCACAAAUCCAGGGGAAAACAUGAGCUUAUCUAUCACAG